Molecule: unclassified non-coding RNA, 329 nt
Filed under: soil metagenome
Description: partial contains 5.8S ribosomal RNA, internal transcribed spacer 2, and large subunit ribosomal RNA
Rfam family: 5.8S ribosomal RNA (bases 1-120)
Source: RNAcentral
GAUGAAGAACGCAGCGAAAUGCGAUAAGUAAUGUGAAUUGCAGAAUUCAGUGAAUCAUCGAAUCUUUGAACGCACAUUGCGCCCCUUGGUAUUCCGAGGGGCAUGCCUGUUCGAGCGUCAUUAUAACCCCUCAAGCUCAGCUUGGUGUUGGGGCCUGCUGCACUGGCAGCCCUUAAAAUCAGUGGCGGCGCCAUCUGGCUCUAAGCGUAGUAUUUCUUCUCGCUAUGGAGUCCUGGUGGAUGCUUGCCAUCAACCCCCAAUUUUUCUAUGGUUGACCUCGGAUCAGGUAGGGAUACCCGCUGAACUUAAGCAUAUCAAUAAGCGGAGGA